RNAcentral lists this ribosomal RNA (468 nucleotides) under uncultured bacterium. RNAcentral's name for it is "partial 16S ribosomal RNA". It matches the Rfam family "Bacterial small subunit ribosomal RNA", at positions 28 to 507 of the family's 1533-position model. The record is from RNAcentral.
GACGAACGCUGGCGGCGUGCUUAACACAUGCAAGUCGAACGGAAAGGCCCUGCUUGCAGGGUGCUCGAGUGGCGAACGGGCGAGUAACACGUGGGUGAUCUGCCCCUUACUUUGGGAUAAGCCUGGGAAACUGGGUCUAAUACUGGAUAGGACCAUGCUGUAGGUGGUGUGGUGGAAAGAUUAGUUUCGGUAAGGGAUGAGCUCGCGGCCUAUCAGCUUGUUGGUGGGGUAAUGGCCUACCAAGGCGUCGACGGGUAGCCGGCCUGAGAGGGUGGACGGCCACAUUGGGACUGAGAUACAGCCCAGAGUCGUGCGGGAGGCAGAAGUGGGGAAUAUUGCACAAUGGGCGCGAGCCUGAUGCAGCGAGGCCGCGUGGGGGAUGACGGCUUUCGGGUUGUAAACUCCUUUCAGCCAUGACGAAGCCUUCGGGUGACGGUAGUGGUAGAAGAAGCACCGGCUAACUACGUG